UAUUAGAAUUCAUACAAAUUAUUCUUUAGUGUUUAGAAUAUUUGUAUCUAUUUUCUUAUUCAGAUGUUAACCAGAUGUUUGUAUGGUCUGUACCAGAUGUUGUUGUUGUUAACCCUAUCAUUAUGCCCUAGAAAAACUCCCAACCCAGAAAUAGGACUACUGGAAAAUGGUCGUUUUCAUUCAAAAAGAAAAAAGAAAAGAAAAGAAACAACAUCAUUUUAUUUAACUCCUGAACCAGACACCUUGUGGAACUUCAUUUCUAAUGUGACUGCAUACAAUUUCCAGAGAAACAGGAUGCUUUAGACAGAAAUUCUUCAUCAGCUGUGCAAGCAAAUAUUAUAAUUAGGGAUGCACCGAAUGUACGGCAACCGAAAUCAUUCGGCCGAAAAUAAUUUAAAAAAAGCAUUUUCGGUGUUCGGCCGAAUAAGUGAAAAGGCUGAAUAAAUUUGACCGAACUAUGACGUGUUUGAUGACGCACCAAAUAGCCUAGCAACCACAGUGUGAUGCGGGAAUUUCACGACCUCCACUUCCGGCAGCGCUCUUGGAGCGAUGAGCGGGUGCGCGCGUGCACGAUUGUGCACAAGCGCAUGCUCUUCGGAUGUUGACAACCGUGACAUUGUUGACACGUGCACGUUUGUUUUGUUUCUGUUCCGGAGUAUUCCGUCACGUCGCGAGACGUAAGGGAGUAGAGUACGGAAGCAGAUGAAGAGAGCUAUGGCAAUGGAUAUUCUAAGUGCGAUAACUGCAGCAAGCAGCAUCAUAUUUAUCCUGUUUAUGAGGAAGAACUGCUAUGAUUUUAGAUGUUGUUAUAUAAUUAUGGUAUAGUUUAUUUAUGUAUUUAUUUUCAGCAUGAGAAAAUGAACAUCACUACACAAUCAAGGGUAAAAAUAUCACCUUUUUAAUUAAUAUACAUUUUAUAUUAAUUUUUCAGCAGAUAGUUUAUCAGGUUUAUAAUAAUAAUCAUCAUCAUCAUGGGUGCACGGUGGCUUAGUGGUUAGCACGUUCGCCUCACACCUCCAGGGUCGGCGGUUCGAUUCCCACGGCUCUGUGUGUGCGGAGUUUGCAUGUUCUUUGCAUGUUGCUGUUGGGGUUUCCUCCCCCAGUCCUGGUAGGCUGCAUGGUACAUGCUACAAGGACUGGCACCCUGUCCAGGGUGUACCCUGCCUUGUGCCGAUGCUCCCUGAGAUAGGCUCCAGGUUCCCCGUGACCCUGAAAAGGAUAAGCGGUAUAGAAGAUGGAUGGAUAAUCAUCAUCUUAAAAACUUAGGACAUAACAUGAUAAUAUAUAUUAAAUAAAAAUCAUUAAGAAACUACAUUCUGUUAUUCUGUUAUAAUAACAUUGUGUUAUUGUGUAUAUCUCAUACUAAAUAGUUUUAGAUAAAAUACAAUAUAAAACAAAGGCAACCUGAGUAAACACACAAUACAGUUUCAUUUUAUUUAUUUAUUUAUUUUUGAGUUUACAGAUGUGACUCCAGGUUCUUAUGGUCAGUGACUAUGCUUAUAUCCACAUCAAUAUUCCAAUAUUAAUCAGAAUUUGUCAAUUUUCUAAUUAGUAUUCAGCCAUGUAAAUGCCGCAAUCCGAUUGCCCAAUUCAGAUUAAGACUAUAUUCUUAUUCCCAAAAGUCUGAUUCCUACCCCUGCAAUAUGCAUGCUUUAAUUGGAAGUUUGUUGCAUGUAAAUCCACUGAAAGGAGAUAUAUGCGCAUGCUCAGUCCGCUAGUGGUGCUAACAGAGUAAUUGUCCAAAUCACAUCCCUCCUGUAGACUGCAAUAAUUCAUGCACCUUAUAAGGACCAGUGGUGUAUUCAGAGCCAUACGCACAUAUAUGCCGUAUGCUUACUUUUUCCCAAGGGCUGUUUGUGUAUAACGACUUCUAACGUUCAAUACUAGUGUAUACCCUUGGUAUACUCACUUGUUUCUACUUUAACUCUAUCAGGUGUUUUUGUGUGUGUGUGUGUGUGAACCUCGCGAUUCUUUGUUGUAAGUGGUGCAUUUUUAUUUGAAUUCCACCUUUCCCUGCCCCUGACAAGUGCAGUCAACCGUUGUCACUGCCAUCUUUGGCUGAAGACAUUGUCUAUCUGAAGCAGCCACAUAAAAUUAAUAAAAGUGCUUGAAUUGGGCUUGAAGCAGAGAUGUAAACUCGAGUCUGCAACUUGGACUUGAGUCACACUUAAGUUGCAAAAAAAAUUACUUGCGACUUGACUUGGACUCGUGAACAACUGACUUGAGACUUGAGACUCAAAUCAUUUUGGUUUGUCAUUC
Molecule: long non-coding RNA, 2259 nt
Organism: Ictalurus furcatus (blue catfish)
Lineage: Eukaryota; Metazoa; Chordata; Actinopteri; Siluriformes; Ictaluridae
Exons: 3
Source: RefSeq, a predicted model, not a curated record